ACGAACGCUGGCGGCGCGCUUAACACAUGCAAGUCGAACGGAAGGGCCUGCUUUCCCUUGUGGAUUGCGGGUACUCGAGUGGCGAACGGGUGAGUAACACGUGAGUGAUCUGCCCCCAACUUGGGUAUAAGCCUGGGAAACUGGGUCUAAUUCCCGAUAGGACUGCAGGGUGGUGCCUGUGGUGGAAAACGAUUUUCUAGUGGUUGGGGAUGAGCUCGCGGCCUAUCAGCUUGUUGGUGGGGUAAUGGCCUACCAAGGCGGCGACGGGUAGCCGGCCUGAGAGGGUGGACGGCCACAUUGGGACUGAGAUACGGCCCAGACUCCUACGGGAGGCAGCAGUGGGGAAUAUUGCACAAUGGGCGGAAGCCUGAUGCAGCGACGCCGCGUGGGGGAUGACGGCCUUCGGGUUGUAAACUCCUUUCGACCGCGAGGAAGCCACCUGGUUGGAAGGGUGGUGACGGUAGUGGUAGAAGAAGCACCGGCUAACUACGUG
Molecule: ribosomal RNA, 493 nt
Filed under: uncultured bacterium
Lineage: Bacteria
Description: partial 16S ribosomal RNA
Rfam family: Bacterial small subunit ribosomal RNA
Source: RNAcentral